UACGUAGGGUGCGAGCGUUGUCCGGAAUUAUUGGGCGUAAAGAGCUCGUAGGCGGUGUGUCACGUCGGCCGUGAAAACCUGGGGCUUAACUCUGGGCGUGCGGUCGAUACGGGCAUCACUAGAGUUCGGCAGGGGAGACUGGAAUUCCUGGUGUAGCGGUGAAAUGCGCAGAUAUCAGGAGGAACACCGGUGGCGAAGGCGGCUUCCUGGACCGACACUGACGCUGAGGCGCGAAAGCUAGGGGAGCAAACGGG
RNAcentral lists this ribosomal RNA (254 nucleotides) under uncultured bacterium. RNAcentral describes it as "partial 16S ribosomal RNA". It matches the Rfam family "Bacterial small subunit ribosomal RNA", at positions 524 to 776 of the family's 1533-position model. The record is from RNAcentral.